RNAcentral lists this ribosomal RNA (115 nucleotides) under Caldithrix abyssi DSM 13497. The record is from RNAcentral. Lineage: Bacteria; Pseudomonadati; Calditrichota; Calditrichia; Calditrichales; Calditrichaceae. RNAcentral also lists the same sequence under 3 other names.
UCUGGUGACUAUGGCGACGGGGAAACACCUCUUCCCAUUCCGAACAGAGAAGUUAAGCCCGUCUGCGCCGAUGGUACUGUCCCCUCGGGGAUGGGAGAGUAGGGCGUCACCAGAA